CUUCUCCAUUGGCUUUAAUCAAAAGAUAGGACUUCUUAGGAUAAAUAAUCAGAUCUACAACUUCAGGAAAUAGAGUAGUUUCCUGCUUUGCCUGUUAAUUAAGAAGCAUAAGAAUACCAAAGUGGUCAGAAAACAACCUCAAUAUUCACAUUCUUAUAAUCAUUGUUGUGUUUUCUGGCAUAAAUAUUUCCACCUUUUAAGCUAAGAAAUCUAGACCAUCAGAGCCUACAAUUUAGAAGACAGGAAGCAACACUUUUGCAGAUGGAUCACUAAAGGUAAUAGUUCAUGGAGUUAUUUUAAUUUUCACACCUUAAUUCCUGGACCCAUGGAUCCUGGCCAUGGGAGAAAUAUCAUGAUAUAUUUUAUACUUAUUUGGAGGAUAUAUCACAUCCUGGAGGCAUUUCUCCAAUCCUGUAUCCAACUAGGUGUUUCCCUCUAGUUGUCACAAUAAUUGAGUCUUCAAAAGACUGUCCAGCAUUCCAGCAAGACUUCUGCUUCAAAAGAUAGUAAAAUAUGAAAAAACGAGUGAACUCCAUGAAUAUGAGUCCAUUACCACAUUUAAUUAAUGCAAAGUGAGUUCCUUGACCAGAAGUCAUGUGCAAUACUAUGAUGGUGGAUAAGAAAUUCUGUAAAUUGACAUGUGAUGGUUGGACAGGAAAAAUGCAUUCAGGUAAAGCAAAUCUAUAUCCAGAGUACUUCCAUAACGUAAGUAUUUCCAUAAUGGAAGCAGUUUGCUGCCUCAACCUGUCAUCAGAUAGCUAGCUGAUCAUAUUGGGGAAUGGUCCCAUAAUGGAAACUUAGUGUUGGUCUCACCUACUAGCACAGUAAACAGUGUGCAGUGAGGGUAGCCAGUUCAACCUUUGUGAAUAUAACUCCAUGUUGGGAGACCUCCAUCUCUGACACCAUAGUCACUUUGUUCCAGAGUUCAUUGACUAGGGACAGGAGUGGCUAGAGAAAGGGAUGAUUGAUAUCCACAAAACAAUUCAUUAUCUCCAGUUGAUUAAAAUUCUCCUCUGUUGAUGUCAUCCUUUCUAAUGAGUUACAUAAAACACUAGUACAUUCUUUUCCUUUGUACAGAGAGGUGCAUAAAAAAACAACGCAUUUUAGACCUUUUUGUUACCAAUGUUUCCAGUUAUGUUACUUCUAAUUUCCAUCCAAACUAUUGAGUCUCUGUCUUUUGAAUGAUUUAGACACAUAUCUAU
RNAcentral lists this long non-coding RNA (1202 nucleotides) under Marmota monax (woodchuck). Lineage: Eukaryota; Metazoa; Chordata; Mammalia; Rodentia; Sciuridae. The record is from RNAcentral.